Long non-coding RNA from Helianthus annuus (common sunflower), 535 nucleotides. RefSeq lists it as uncharacterized. NCBI's taxonomy places the organism in Eukaryota, Viridiplantae, Streptophyta, Magnoliopsida, Asterales, Asteraceae. The record is from RefSeq and is a predicted model, not a curated record. The transcript has 3 exons.
CGUGUUAGGGCCUUCGAUCGACACUGCAACAUGGUGCUGGAAAACAUUAGGGAAAUGUGGACUGAGGUUGCUUCUUCUCUCGAAAUAACUUAUCUAGCACUUUUUUUAAUUCCAUUUUCGAAAUAACUUAUUAGCAAGAUGUUUCUUCGAGGUGACUCCGCUAUCAUUGUGCUUAGAAACCCCAAGUGAGAGGGUCACCACCUCAAUGUGAUCUGGCUCUGCCUGUUUCAACAUGUACCCAAUAGUAGGUACUUUAACCCAACAUGUUAGAUGUCCAGCAUGAUGGAGGUGUAAGUAUGGGCUCCAGAAUGUGAUGCAUCAUUGCAUUGGGCUAGAGAUGGAUCACUUUGUAUAAGGCAUGGGCCGAUUGAUUCUUAAAACUCUAAUAUGCAUCGUGGACUAUGAGCUUGCUAUUGGCCUUUACUCUUUCUAGGACGUUUGUUUUCAAAAGUUGUAAAAAGUAUUAGGUGACUGAAUAUAAUUGUAAAUAUAUUACUACUUUAAAUACCUUAGGUUGAUGUUGGGUUUGGAGUUG